AUAAGCUUAGCGCCCCCUCGCGGCCCAAGUGCGCAUAUGCAUUUAACGUUGUUGUGCUGCAAUCUCUACAGGGGCGAUGAAAAAAUCUUUGGCGAAUGUUGUGGCAUCUGGCGCUGACACGACCAACUCUCUCUGUCUGUCCUCAACAGUUUAUUUAUUUCGCAAGAAUUCCGUGGAGGAAACAUUUUUUUCCAUGUUUGAAGUCUUGCUUGGUGAUGGAAUGAGUCAUUUUCUGAAGCAAUGAGAUGGAAGGAACCUUCAUAGCAUCCAACAAACAAGGAUUUCUAUGAGGCAUUGUGUUUUCCACAUUGCAGACCUCUGUAUCACCAACUUAAAUGAGCCUCCACCUGUCCACCAUGAUCUCCCCCAAACUUAAUCCACACCUCUUCUUCAGGAAUUGCCCCAUCGUGAGUUGUGAGAAAUCCAUUCCUGUGGAAAGAUGAUGGAACAUGAACAUAUGGUCUGUGACUCUGCUAUGGACCUAGUGAAUCACUGUUGACUGUCCAUGGUUCAAGUGAGGAUUGGCAAACCUGGUCAUUUCUUGAUUACCUACAGAAUGCAAUUGCAACAUAUGCAAAAUCUUAUGCAGGAAUGGGGCUAUAGCAGUGAUGGGACACUACCUUUGACUGUGAAGAUCAGACGAUGCAAUUCCCGUUGGUCAGCCCCCCCCCCCACCCCAAGGAGCCAUGCACUGCCAGAGAUCUUGAGCCAGGUCUUCAGUGGUUAUCCAUUGAUAAGAAGAACGGAGAUAAUAAAGACAGUGAGGUAUCUUGUUGAUUUCGACGUGACCAUCUUCCUAACGCUUCUUCCAAACAAUGAACUGGAGGCUCUUUCCACGAAUGAAUGUUUAGCUGCUUCAAGUGUGAUUCCAGCUUUUUCAAGAGCUUCUUGUUGUUCUACUUCUACUGGCCUUUAUUGUAGUUAACAUGUCCUGUGAAUGUUUUUAGGAGCCCAGUUUUGCUACAAACACAGUAAACCUCAAGUUCACAUACAGUUAAAAAACGGU
Molecule: long non-coding RNA, 1006 nt
Filed under: Lytechinus variegatus (green sea urchin)
Lineage: Eukaryota; Metazoa; Echinodermata; Echinoidea; Temnopleuroida; Toxopneustidae
Description: uncharacterized LOC121410295
Source: RNAcentral